UACGAAGGGUGCAAGCGUUACUCGGAAUUACUGGCGUAAAGCGUGCGUAGGUGUGAGUUAAGUCUGUCGUGAAAGCCCCCGGGCUCAACCUGGGAAUGGCGAUGGAUACUGGCUCGCUAGAGUGCGGUAGAGGAGAGUGGAAUUCCCGGUGUAGCAGUGAAAUGCGUAGAGAUCGGGAGGAACAUCAGUUGCGAAAGGCGGCUCUCUGGACCAGCACUGACACUGAGGCACGAAAGCGUGGGGAGCAAACAGG
RNAcentral lists this ribosomal RNA (253 nucleotides) under uncultured bacterium. RNAcentral's name for it is "partial 16S ribosomal RNA". It matches the Rfam family "Bacterial small subunit ribosomal RNA", at positions 524 to 776 of the family's 1533-position model. The record is from RNAcentral.